This 66-nucleotide transfer RNA is filed under the name Smaragdina reyi. RNAcentral describes it as "tRNA-Cys". The record is from RNAcentral. Lineage: Eukaryota; Metazoa; Arthropoda; Insecta; Coleoptera; Chrysomelidae.
GGCCUUAUAUUCAAUAUAUGAUUUUGGAUUGCAAAUCUGAAGGUGAGACUUAAACUUCUAAGGCUU